GCUUGAUAAAGAUAGAUCUAAAUAAAGUUUAAGAUUUUUUUAGCAUUAUUGAAUAAAUUAUAUUGUGUGUUUUAAACGUGGCAUUAAAAAACAACAACAAUAAUAUUACAUUUUAUUUUUAGGUGUCUUUCAGGACACUCAAGAUUGCCGUACAAGGUAAAAGGUAAAAAAUAAGUUAAAAUACACACAUACAGAUAAAACCCACAACAAUGUUAAAUUAAAAAGAAUAAUGGAAUUAUGAGGAAGAAAGCCUGUCUGAAUAAAUAUGUUUCAAGAUGUUACUUGGCUGAGAUUGUAAGGAAGUCCAAAGUAUUGUGCGGCCUCAUCAACAUCAAAUUAUAAUCGAUAUAAGGGUCAGCAGGGAUGAAAUCGAACUACAUAUUCACACACAUUCAGUACUAGCCUACAUUCUAUAAUGAAGUGGAACACUGAUAAAGGUAUAGUUUAUGGUUUUUAUUUAAAACUUUAUUUUUGAUGACUGCUGUUAGUUAAAACGUCCACUAGAUGGCAUUAUAUGAUCUUGCAUUGCACUAAAACCAGGUAUAUGAGCGUUGCAUUUUGGGAAAUGAAGAUGCUAUGAACGCUAAUGGAGAAAACGCUAACGCUAGCGCGACCUCUUUCAAACCAAAGAAAAACUGACGAGUUCCAGACUGCUCUAAUCAGCGAAUUACAUCUGAGUUCUGUGUGAUACAAGUGUCUGACAGAAUUGAUGUCAAGGAGGAUUCGGCCUGAUUCAAUGAGGGAUUGAGGACCAAUUUUUUUCAACUUCAGCCAACUGUUGGAGCAUCACCCAAAGCAGAUAAGGUCGUGGAGGAAAAGGCGUUAGUUUGACCAAUAAGCUACAUUGUAGCUUAUGACACAAUUGAAGUGGGCGUCAACUGUUCCUCCGGCUUUUGGCACAUUUAAAUGGAGGCCAGUAUCCGGACGAGUCCAGGUUACCUGCUGAUAUCGACAAAGAGAAGCACAGGAUAAAUUGCCACUCAGUGACGGUAUGAAUGUGGGUGCCAAUGGUCGUCUGUCUCUUUGUGUACCCUGUGAUUAAUCAUUUCAGCGUGCUGCCCGUCUUCCAUUGCAAGUAUUGGUGGCUCGGUGGUAGAGUUUUCGCACGCUGCGCGGGAACCCCGAGACUGAUGCCCGGGCACGCCGAUGCAUCUUGGGGUAGCCUUUGCAGCUAGCCUCGCAUCGGGGCAACAGUUCCGCUAUGACAACGCGAGCAGACCAGGAUAUACGGUGUUGGAAAUGUCCCACACUACAACAAAUCAUUAUUUUAUCCACACUGGUUUGAGUGCAAUAUUGUUGUGGUUGGUUCGUUGUUUAAAAUGUAUAAAAGAAAUAAUGUUUGUUUUGCAUGUGGGAUGAGAAUUCAGUAAAACGGCAUGUGAGGGACUAACUUGUCCCCCCCCUCCACAGUACUUAAGUUACUGAAUAUGUAUAUAAAAAUGGAUCUUAAGCUACUAUACCGAGUGUGGUUUGAUUGUCAAUAUCAGUUUGCAUAUGACUGAUGAAAAAGGUAAAAUUUCAGAUUUGAAGAAGUCCAUUGGAACUGUUUUGAAAUAAUAAAAAAAACCAUCCCACCUUGUUUCCAAUUGCCAAAUAUAUAUGCCUUGUAGACUGAAGUGCAAAUUGUGUUUAUUCACAGAUGCAAGACAGUGUUAAAGUAUAAGAAUAAAAUGUCACAGUAAGGUUUAUUGACCACAUAUUAUAUGUACAUAAUAUAAUUAUAUAUAAGGAAUGUUUGUAUAUAUAAUUUAUGUUUGUACAUAUGAUGUAUGUGUGUAUGUGCAGGGUGAUUCAAAAACAAUGUGCCAAAAUCACACAUUUAUUCCUUUCAAAAUCAUUGACAUAGACUGAAAUGAUUAAUUAAAUUGUUAAUUUGAUAAGAAAGUCUCUUUAUCAAGUAAGUUAACAAAUUUAGUCAUAUCAGCUUGAUUGUCCGUGAUGCUGCUGGUGGUCACAUUGAGCACUUGUAAAGCAUGAAAUAAAAACAAAAAUAUACAAUACUUGUGUCAAUGUAGUUAUUGCCCCCCCAAUUUACCGCAAUGGUUUUGGCCCAUUCUUUUUUUCAUCACCCUGUAUAGUGUAUGUGUGUAUAUAUGUAUGUGUAUAUAUAUACAUUAUUUCUAUAUAUUUAUGCAAAUAUUUUGCGGUACUUCGUGCUGAUUGCAGCUAUGCUCUGGACCCACGUUCCGUCGACAUUCGCUGGAAGUGAUGGUAAGUUAAUGCAGCGCCAGCCGUACAACAACAGACGCCGAAUCUCAAUGACGCACCCUGAGCCACCCAGGUUUCAUUUUUGCAACGUGUUGACAGUUAGAGCUGUUCCUGAAUGGGAAACAUUUAGGAGCAUAAAAAUACUGCCAGCUUUAACUUCACGGCUGGUAAUGACAGUGUUAGACAUCCGAUCUUCCUUUCCAUCCACUCCCAGUCAAAAUGGAUUCGACAUGUAGUACAAACAUGGCACCCAAAAUAUUGUUUCACAUGUGUGCGUGCGCAAAAAGUAUUCCACAUGUAUGCGCGUAAGUGUCUCACAUGUAUAAGCGCAAAGAUUUCACAUUCAUGCGCGUGAGUGUCUCACAUGUA
Corythoichthys intestinalis (scribbled pipefish) is the source of this 2577-nucleotide long non-coding RNA. RefSeq lists it as uncharacterized. Lineage: Eukaryota; Metazoa; Chordata; Actinopteri; Syngnathiformes; Syngnathidae. The record is from RefSeq and is a predicted model, not a curated record. The transcript is spliced from 4 exons.